AGCUUUGCGCAGUGGCAGUAUCAUAGCCAAUGAGGUUUAUCCGAGGCGCGAUUAUUGCUAAUUGAAAACUUUUCCCGAUUAUUGCUAAUUGGAGCCUAUCUUAGUAUUCACUCUGGAGA
This is a small nuclear RNA of Cricetulus griseus (Chinese hamster), 119 nucleotides long. Its record names the gene U4. It matches the Rfam family "U4 spliceosomal RNA". From Rfam's summary of the family: U4 small nuclear RNA (U4 snRNA) is a component of the major U2-dependent spliceosome. The record is from Ensembl. Lineage: Eukaryota; Metazoa; Chordata; Mammalia; Rodentia; Cricetidae.